GCGUGAGUGAUGAAGGCCCUAGGGUUGUAAAGCUCUUUCGCAGGUGAAGAUAAUGACGGUAACCUGUAAAGAAGCCCCGGCUAACUUCGUGCCAGCAGCCGCGGUAAUACGAAGGGGGCUAGCGUUGUUCGGAAUAACUGGGCGUAAAGCGUACGUAGGCGGAUUGGAAAGUUAGGGGUGAAAUCCCGAGGCUCAACCUCGGAACUGCCCUUAAAACUAUCAGUCUAGAGGUCGAGAGAGGUGAGUGGAAUUCCGAGUGUAGAGGUGAAAUUCGU
RNAcentral lists this ribosomal RNA (275 nucleotides) under uncultured bacterium. RNAcentral describes it as "partial 16S ribosomal RNA". It matches the Rfam family "Bacterial small subunit ribosomal RNA", at positions 399 to 691 of the family's 1533-position model. The record is from RNAcentral.